RNAcentral lists this transfer RNA (76 nucleotides) under Thermoactinomyces intermedius. RNAcentral's name for it is "tRNA-Ala". It matches the Rfam family "tRNA". From Rfam's summary of the family: Transfer RNA (tRNA) molecules are approximately 80 nucleotides in length. Their secondary structure includes four short double-helical elements and three loops (D, anti-codon, and T loops). RNAcentral also lists the same sequence under 8 other names. Lineage: Bacteria; Bacillati; Bacillota; Bacilli; Caryophanales; Thermoactinomycetaceae. The record is from RNAcentral.
GGGGCUAUAGCUCAGCUGGGAGAGCACCUGCCUUGCAAGCAGGGGGUCAGCGGUUCGAAUCCGCUUAGCUCCACCA